GAUGAACGCUAGCGAUAGGCUUAACACAUGCGAGUCGAGGGGCAGCAUGGCCUUAGCUUGCUAAGACUGAUGGCGACCGGCGCACGGGUGCGUAACGCGUAUGCAACUUGCCUCACAGAGGGGGAUAACCCGUCGAAAGACGGACUAAUACCGCGUACACUCCAUCUUGGGCAUCCAAGGUAGAGGAAAUGAAAUUCGCUGUGAGAUAGGCAUGCGUCCCAUUAGCUAGUUGGUGAGGUAACGGCUCACCAAGGCGACGAUGGGUAGGGGAACUGAGAGGUUGAACCCCCACACUGGUACUGAGACACGGACCAGACUCCUACGGGAGGCAGCAGUGAGGAAUAUUGGUCAAUGGGCGAGAGCCUGAACCAGCCAAGUCGCGUGAAGGAUGACUGUCUUAUGGAUUGUAAACUUCUUUUAUACGGGAAUAACAAGAGUCACGUGUGACUCCCUGCAUGUACCGUAUGAAUAAGCAUCGGCUAACUCCGUG
This 490-nucleotide ribosomal RNA is filed under the name uncultured bacterium. RNAcentral describes it as "partial 16S ribosomal RNA". It matches the Rfam family "Bacterial small subunit ribosomal RNA", at positions 28 to 507 of the family's 1533-position model. The record is from RNAcentral.